Molecule: long non-coding RNA, 605 nt
Filed under: Ananas comosus (pineapple)
Lineage: Eukaryota; Viridiplantae; Streptophyta; Magnoliopsida; Poales; Bromeliaceae
Description: long non-coding RNA (ACOM_LNC033953)
Source: RNAcentral
AUAUAUAUAUAUAUAUAUAUAUAUAUAUAUAUAUAUAUAUAUAUAUAAAACUAGGCUCCUAUGCUUUCGAAAGUACGGGAGAUCCCGUGCUUGUAAGUUGUUUUCGAUGAUGGGACAUCUAAUUUGGCGAUCGGUUCCGUUAAACUUGACCUACGCUAUUGGAACUAUCUAGAAACCAAAUUUCAUAAUUUUUUGAUUUCGUUUGUCUAGUGAACGAGUAGCCUCAAAAUGAACGGCUGAAAAUGAAAAUCUCAUAAAAAAUAAUGAUAAAGGAUUCAAAUUUUAAAUCGAAAGUAUUAAUCUUGCUACUGAUGUUAAGUAGAAAUUUUUAUUAAAUUUUCAUAUAAUUUGGAUACUUCUACACCGUUUAACUUAAAAAUGUGCCACAUUGACCGUUAAAAUAGUCAUUUUUUAGACUUUUGAUCGCUUAGUAAAUGAUGUCAAAAAAUCUACUAAUAGGGUAGAUCAUAUCUAACGGAGCUGAUCAUCAAAUCGAACGUCCUAUCAUCAAAAACAACUUACAAACACGGAACCUCCCGUACUUUCGAAAGUAUAGAAGACGGAAUAUAUAUAUAUAUAUAUAUAUAUAUAUAUAUAUAUAUAAA